This 404-nucleotide unclassified non-coding RNA is filed under the name soil metagenome. Its description in RNAcentral is "partial contains 5.8S ribosomal RNA, internal transcribed spacer 2, and large subunit ribosomal RNA". The stretch from base 1 to 122 matches the Rfam family "5.8S ribosomal RNA", at positions 35 to 154 of the family's 154-position model. The record is from RNAcentral.
GAUGAAGAACGUAGCAAAAUGCGAUACUUGGUGUGAAUUGCAGAAUCCCGUGAACCAUCGAGUUUUUGAACGCAAGUUGCGCCCGAAGCCUUUUGGCCGAGGGCACGUCCGCCUGGGCGUCACGCAUCGCGUCGCCCCCCACAAUUCUCCGUAAAGGGAACGUGUGUUUUGGGGGCGGAUAUUGGUCUCCCGUGCUCAUGGCGUGGUUGGCCGAAAUAGGAGUCCUUUCGAUGGACGCACGAACUAGUGGUGGUCGUAAAAACCCUCGUCUUUUGUUUCGUGCUGUUGCUCGCAAGGUAAACUCUUUAAAAACCCCAAUGUGUCGUCUCUUGACGACGCUUCGACCGCGACCCCAGGUCAGGCGGGACUACCCGCUGAGUUUAAGCAUAUCAAUAAGCGGAGGA